GAACGCUAGCGGCAUGCCUAACACAUGCAAGUCGAGCGAACAGAUAAGGAGCUUGCUCCCUGACGGCGAGUGGCGGACGGGUGAGUAACACGUAGGAAUCUACCUUAAUUAUAAUAGUUAGUGGGGGAUAACCCGGGGAAACUCGGGCUAAUACCGCAUAAUCUCUUCAAAGCAAAGCGGGGGAUCUUCGGACCUCGUGCUAUGAGAUGAGCCUGCGUCGGAUUAGCUAGUUGGUAGGGUAAUGGCCUACCAAGGCGACGAUCCGUAGCUGGUCUGAGAGGACGAUCAGCCACACUGGGACUGAGACACGGCC
Molecule: ribosomal RNA, 313 nt
Filed under: uncultured Coxiella sp.
Lineage: Bacteria; Pseudomonadati; Pseudomonadota; Gammaproteobacteria; Legionellales; Coxiellaceae
Description: bacterial SSU rRNA
Rfam family: Bacterial small subunit ribosomal RNA
Source: RNAcentral